AUUGAACGCUGGCGGAAUGCUUUACACAUGCAAGUCGAACGGCAGCACGGGGGCAGCCCUGGUGGCGAGUGGCGAACGGGUGAGUAAUACAUCGGAACGUGCCCUGUCGUGGGGGAUAACGUAGCGAAAGUUACGCUAAUACCGCAUACGAUCUGAGGAUGAAAGCGGGGGACCUUCGGUCCUCGCGCGAUCGGAGCGCCCGAGGUCAGAUUGGGUAGUGGGUGGGGAAAAGGCCUACCAAGCCGACAAUCUGUAGCUGGUCUGCGAGGUCGACCAGCCACACUGAGGCUGAGAAACGGCCCAGACUCCUAGGGGAGGCAGAGGUGGGAAAUUUUGGACAAUGGGGGCAAGCCUGAGCCAGCCAUUCGGCGUGGAGGAGGAAGGCCUUCGGGUGGUAAACUGCUUUUGUACGGAACGAAAAGGCUCUGGCUAAUACCUGGGGCUCAUGACGGUACCGUAAGAAUAAGCACCGGCUAACUACGU
RNAcentral lists this ribosomal RNA (483 nucleotides) under uncultured bacterium. Its description in RNAcentral is "partial 16S ribosomal RNA". It matches the Rfam family "Bacterial small subunit ribosomal RNA", at positions 29 to 506 of the family's 1533-position model. The record is from RNAcentral.